GAGAGUGGGUAGUCCGCACGAGCGCACCUUACUUUUAGUUGCCAUCAUUUAGUUGGGCACUCUGAAAGAACUGCCAGUGAUAAGCUGGAGGAAGGUGGGGAUGACGUCAAGUCCUCAUGGCCCUUACGUGUUGGGCUACACACGUGCUACAAUGGCAUCUACAACAGGAAGCAAAACGGCAACGUUAAGCAAAUCCCGAAAAGAUGCCUCAGUUCGGAUUGCACUCUGCAACUCGAGUGCAUGAAGCUGGAAUUACUAGUAAUCGCGGAUCAGCGUGCCGCAGUGAAUACGUUCCCGGGUCUUGUACACACCGCCCGUCACACCAUGGGAGUUGGUUCUACCUUAAGGCAAAGCUUAAAACCUUUGACCACGGUAUAGUCAGCGACUGGGGUGAAGUCGUAACAAGGUAGCCGUAGGGGAACCUGCGGCUGGAUUACCUCCUUUCU
This 446-nucleotide ribosomal RNA is filed under the name uncultured Pelagibacterales bacterium. Its description in RNAcentral is "bacterial SSU rRNA". It matches the Rfam family "Bacterial small subunit ribosomal RNA", at positions 1072 to 1533 of the family's 1533-position model. The record is from RNAcentral. Lineage: Bacteria; Pseudomonadati; Pseudomonadota; Alphaproteobacteria; Candidatus Pelagibacterales.